GGGCGGGGAUUUACAUCUCAUUGGCUCAGGAGAUUAUCUCUGUCUUCGGAUUGGUGUUAAGAGUUUGUAAAGGCAUAACGUGAUUUUUACUUUACACAUCAUACACAUUCUAUGAUUUUACUCAACACGCAACCAUAUCAUAAUACUGCUACUAUUUAUCAUCUCCUACACUGAUCGCAGAUUACUUUUGUGGACUCUUUGUUGGGCUUCCAGAGGAUGAGCCCUCACCUUCUUCUUCUACAUCAUCUGGGAAACACAAAGAAACAUAGGUCUGUCUUCAGUCAGGAACAUCUAGGCCUCAAUAAAAAUGCCUCAAUGCCCACAUUGUUAAAAAUCUCUGCAAUAAAUGUAUAAGCCAAACUGCA
Esox lucius (northern pike) is the source of this 365-nucleotide long non-coding RNA. RefSeq lists it as uncharacterized. The transcript has 2 exons. The record is from RefSeq and is a predicted model, not a curated record. Lineage: Eukaryota; Metazoa; Chordata; Actinopteri; Esociformes; Esocidae.